CAGACUCCUACGGGGGCAGCAGUGGGAAUAUUGGACAAGUGGCGCAAGCCUGAGUCCAGCAAUGCGCGUGUGUGAAGAAGGCCUUCGGGUUGUAAACGCGACUUUUAAUCAGGUAGCGAAAGUACUACCGGUUAAUAACCGGUGGGCUGACGUACUGAGGAAUAAGCACCGGCUAACUUCGUGCCAGCAGCCGCGGUAAUAC
This 202-nucleotide ribosomal RNA is filed under the name uncultured bacterium. Its description in RNAcentral is "partial 16S ribosomal RNA". It matches the Rfam family "Bacterial small subunit ribosomal RNA", at positions 332 to 526 of the family's 1533-position model. The record is from RNAcentral.